Molecule: small nucleolar RNA, 72 nt
Organism: Stegodyphus dumicola
Lineage: Eukaryota; Metazoa; Arthropoda; Arachnida; Araneae; Eresidae
Product: small nucleolar RNA SNORD34
Source: RefSeq, a predicted model, not a curated record
GCGAGUCGAUGAUGAAUAAAUUACCUACAUUGUUUGAUUCAGAUGAUAUAAAAAAUAUUAUCUGAGACUCGU